GUCCCGAGAGCGCGUCAGCGCAGCGGCCUCCCGCGUGCUCGUGUGCGCGCGCGUCCCGGUGCCGCGCGCCCUCUCCUGCACAGCUGCGGUGCGCCCAGCCGCCCGCCAGAGGCUCGGCUCGCGCGGCGCGGCCGCUGCGACUUCCUGGAGUUCUGACUACCGGAAGUCCCACUUUACCAUUAAUGAUGACAAUAACUAAAGCUGCCAGGAACAGCACAUUUGCUGACCUUUAUCAACACCAGAUUCUCGCAUUUUGCCUUCUGGAUCUCCAUGCUCUUUUAUACCAGCAAACAAGAGGAAGAAUAUUCUCUACCCACUUCCUUGACUGAAGCCUGCUCUUUUAUGAAGACAUGGCAUCUCUUCCAACCGUGUCAAACAGAAGCAAUUUAUGUGUAUGCCGCUUCCAUACCCUGAUUCAAUGGGUCAGGGGCAGAAUCAGUAUCCUUACUCUCCCCUUUGGUUUCAAAUAUUUACUCCUCAUUUCCCUUUCAUGCCCACCUUUCUGUAGAGAUCAAGGCAUUUGCCUUUGCAGCUUUACCUCUUCUUCCAGAUUAUAUUUUCCAUUCAUGGAAUCUUUUAGCUGCCGGCUCGCAGUUUUUCUGUCCACGUGACUUCCAUUCCUCUUCUCAUGGCUUCAGCUCCCAUGCAGAUGUCUUAUCCUGACACACUAGCUUCUCCAUUCUAUUUCUGUUUUUUGUUUGUUGUUUGUUUGUUUUUUGUUUGUUUUUUCCUACUACUUCAACAACAUUUCCCUAUGGUCUUUAACUAAAAAGUCAAACCAGUGACUAAACCACUCCCAAUAUUUAACAUUUAAUGUUUCAGUGCCUUAAUUACCACCUUCUACUUUUAAAAACUCACCUCCUAAGUAACCACAUGGAAUCAAGUCUUUCACAAAAUUCAGGUCUUUAUUAUUAUUAUUAUUAUUAAUUCCCACCAGUUUCUACUCUUAUCUUCAUUUUCCUCCUUAUACCCUGUGGUAAGCAGCCUCUCACAUGGACCCUAAUGAUCCCUACUUCCUGGUAUGUGCGUCCUUGUGUAAUUGUCUCUCUCUUGAAUGUGGGCUAGAUUUAGAAAUUUGCUUUUAUCAAACAGAAUAUGGUAGUAGCAAUGGGAUGUUAAGAUAUAAAAUGAAUGUGUCUUCCAUCUUGGGAGCUCCUUUACUCUUCCUUAGAGCAUUUGUUUGCAAUAAGCCAGGUACCGUGUUAUGAUACCGUCCUAAAUAGAGAAGUCCAUGUGAGUUUGGCCUUCUGAGGCCUGUCAAAAGACACAUGAGUGAGCUCAGAAGUAGAAGCUUCCUCAUUUCAAGUCUUGAGAGGACUGCAGUCCAGCCAACAUCUUGGUUGCCCUUUCAUGACAGGCUUGUGCCAGAAUCAAGCAGCUAAGCUGCUUCUGGAUUCCUGACCUACAAACACUAUAGAUCAGGAAUGUUUGUGGCUUCCAACUGCUAAAUUUGGGGAUAAUUUGUUAUGCAAAUGUAGGUAACUAAUGUAUACCUCAUGGAUUCCACGCCCAUUGUUAUGAUAAUUUACUUACAACCAUCUUCAGCUAUUUACUACAUUUUUCUGGCUGGAUCACCAUGUUUACUGUGAUGGACAACUGCCCUUCCUGAUCCAUGACCCAUGCAACAGAGCAUUACUGAAGAAAUUCACACCCUCAGGCAAUUAGAUGUCCCUGUAAAGUUAUAGUCAACAGGUUCUUAUGACCUCACCACAUAGACUGUUACUUAUAAGCUCCCUCUCUUAUUACACCUAUGGAUAUUUUGUAACUUUUCUUUGAUCAUUAAAAAGCUUCUCCUCAACUCUUGAA
This is a long non-coding RNA of Macaca fascicularis (crab-eating macaque), 1806 nucleotides long. Lineage: Eukaryota; Metazoa; Chordata; Mammalia; Primates; Cercopithecidae. The record is from Ensembl.